UGAGGUCAUGCAUAGAAUGCAAUUCAGGCACCCCUCCUGGAUGUGGACCCCCAGCCUCCAACGCGAUCCUGAUCACACCAGCUUUGGGGCCAAUGCAAGCACCAGUGUCCUGAGCACUGUGCAGCUCUGAAAUGAAGGAAGUGGAAGGGACAGAAAGCACAGGUUCCUGCACUGCACUCAGCAAUUACACAAUCCCAUAUCUGCAA
This is a non-coding RNA of Phasianus colchicus (ring-necked pheasant), 206 nucleotides long. NCBI's taxonomy places the organism in Eukaryota, Metazoa, Chordata, Aves, Galliformes, Phasianidae. The record is from RefSeq and is a predicted model, not a curated record.